GGCGGGUUCGUCUAUCGGUUCAGGACACAUGCCUCUCACGCAUGAAAGAUGGGUUCGAUUCCCAUACCCGCUA
This 73-nucleotide transfer RNA is filed under the name Bacteroidaceae bacterium. RNAcentral's name for it is "tRNA-Glu". It matches the Rfam family "tRNA". Rfam says of the family: Transfer RNA (tRNA) molecules are approximately 80 nucleotides in length. Their secondary structure includes four short double-helical elements and three loops (D, anti-codon, and T loops). RNAcentral also lists the same sequence under 1 other name. Lineage: Bacteria; Pseudomonadati; Bacteroidota; Bacteroidia; Bacteroidales; Bacteroidaceae. The record is from RNAcentral.